CCACGACUCUCUCUCUCUCCCUCUCCCGAUCCAAUCUGGAUCGGGCCGUUCCCCCUUCCCCCUCGCCGCGUCCCCGACGCCACCUCGCUUAGGGCCCCCCUCGUCGGAGCCUCCCGACGCCGCCGCACGCCAUCUCCUCCCGCACGAUGCCUCCCCCUCGACGCGGACUGAAUCGGCGGCUCGAUCCCGCGGCGCCCCGAGCCCUGACGCCGUGCCGUCGCUGCUCACCACCACCUCGUCGGCGUCG
This 247-nucleotide ribosomal RNA is filed under the name Triticum aestivum (bread wheat). Its description in RNAcentral is "partial small subunit ribosomal RNA". The record is from RNAcentral. Lineage: Eukaryota; Viridiplantae; Streptophyta; Magnoliopsida; Poales; Poaceae.